AACGAACGCUGGCGGCAUGCCUAACACAUGCAAGUCGAACGAGACCUUCGUGUCUGGUUGCGCACGCGUGCGUAACGCGUGGGAACCUUCCCUUAUGUUCCGAAUACCUCCCCUACGGGGGGGCUAAUACCGGAUAAUUUCCGCGGACCAAAGAUUUAUCGAGCUUGGGUGGGCCCGAGUUGGUUUAGCUAGGUGGUAGUGUAAAAGCCUACGAAGGCUACGAUCCAUAGCUGGUCUGAGAGAAUGAUCAGCGACACUGGGACUGAGACACGGCCCAGAAUACUAGGGGAGGGAGGAGUGGCGGAUACUGGAAGAUGGGCGAAAGCAUGAUCCCGCAAUGCCGGGUGAGUGAUGAAGGCCUUAGAGAUGUGAAGCUGUUUUACACGGGACGAUAAUGACAGUACCGGGAGAAUAAGCACCGGCUAACUCCGUG
This 433-nucleotide ribosomal RNA is filed under the name uncultured bacterium. Its description in RNAcentral is "partial 16S ribosomal RNA". It matches the Rfam family "Bacterial small subunit ribosomal RNA", at positions 29 to 507 of the family's 1533-position model. The record is from RNAcentral.